GCAGUGUAGCAUAAUGGUUAGGGUGCUGGUCUCCGACCUACGAGGUCAUGGGUUCGAUUCCCAGGCAAGCA
Molecule: transfer RNA, 71 nt
Filed under: Anguilla anguilla (European eel)
Lineage: Eukaryota; Metazoa; Chordata; Actinopteri; Anguilliformes; Anguillidae
Description: tRNA-OTHER
Source: RNAcentral